UGUUUUAAGGAAUGGCAAUGCUAAAUUCUACAGUGGUACACUCUACUCUGUCGAAUGUUUACAAACACCACAAAGCUAGAGAUCUAUUGUGGAAACCUUUCUUUCUUUUGUUUGUUAUAACUUCUUAGUGUAAAAAUAAAUAUGGCUUGUCCAUUACGAAACAAAUAUGUAAGAUUUAUUACUUUUCAAAGUUGAAUUGUUCCUGACAAUUACACAUGAGAGUGCAUAUAAUUGAGUUGUGCUGACUUGCUGUUUCUAAAAUGAUAAGCUGGAGCUGGAGUUACAUAUGAGAGUACAGAUAAUUAAGUUGUGCUCCUGACUUGAUUAACAAAAGCUGCAGAAGAAAGGGACAAAAUACCAAAAAGCUGAAAAUUUGAAGAAAGGUGGAAGUAGGGAACUACACAACUUGAUUCAAGAUUACGAAGGGAAAAAGGGCAUUGAUUGAGCAGGAGAAAACAAUAAUGGGCCGAGGCAAGGAUAUAGUGCUCAGUUAGUAAAGAGAUAUGUGGGAAGUGGAGCAGCGGGAUGCAAAUGGAAUUUUUGUGACUCACUGAAGGUCCUUCGCAAUCCAAAUUCCAGUUCUAUGACUUGCAAGGAAGGAUGAAGUCCAUGUCAUGAAAAUUUUAAUAUGUGGUCGCUGCCUCCUCCAGCCAUGGAUUUCAAAGGACCCCGGCACCACCACCACAGCCCCGCCUUAUCCACUGCCGGCCUUCACAAACGGGCAGCGGCGCGCUUGCCGCGGCGUCCGCUCCGCCCGAGCCCAGUAAUGGGGCGAGGCGUCGCGGCGGCUUUCCUGCACGCCUUGUCGGCCUUGGAGCUAGCCUUGGUGGGGGCGGGCCGAGGCGUCGCGGCGGAGGACGAUAAGCAGACGGGCACGCGCCGCCGGCGCGCUUGCCGUGGGCGUCCGCUUCGCCCGAGCCCAGGAGUGGGGCGAGGGGUCGCGCCGGCGUUCCUAUAUGCCUUGUCGCCCUUGAAGCUGGCCUUGGCGGGCCGAGGCGUCGCGGCGGAGGACGACAAGGCGGUCGGCGUGCUCUGUUGGGGCGACGCGUCGCGGCGCUCCGGCUCCAGCAGAUGACGGCAGAGAGCCAGGUGUGGCUUUGUGUCACCAACAGCCACGAGGUCAUCCGCGCCGGCCACCGUGCCAGGCUGGACCAGCUGCUGCAGCCCCCCUGCGUCGUCGCCGUCGCCGUGGCACAAGAAGCGCGAGUUCCCCCUCGCUAUCGGAGGCUGGGUGUCGUUCUCUAGUGCAGAUUGUCUAAUUGAGUUUUUGAAAGCGUCGUCCACGUCUGCACUUCAUGGGUCCAUACACUGGGAACUCACGCCUGAGAACUUCCUGCUCACCAGAUUGGUUUCAGUUUCUCUGUCUCCAUCGAAGAAGCUCAAUAACCAUAUAACGCAUCUUGCCCGAGUUUGAUACUUCCGACUAUUUCCAUGUCUUUCGGGUCAAAGUUAAGUUAGCUCUAUAUACGAGCAGGCAUUUUAUUCUUUGGGAGCAAGCAAGAAUCAAUAUAUUCUCUCGCAAUAUUAUCUCCUCCUUCCCCUUGUCUUCCUAAUCCCCUGCAGAUGGCAUGACUAGGUAGGUUCAUAACAGUUGUUGUAACUAUCCGUCCGGUCAUGAAUCAACAAUUACAAUUGUUUUGACUUCUACGAUCAGUUCAGCCGCCUAUGUUGUACUGCCGCUGCCAUUUAAAGAUUUAAGUUGUCAGGUGGAUAUAGGUUCCAUUAGAUUGAAAGUAAUGAAAUUUUAUUUGCCAACCUGGCUGCACUUUGUGAUGCUUUAUUUAUGUAUAUACUUAAAGUUCAUAUGUGAUGUAUGCUUUACUCCUUAUUUGAUACUUGCAUUUGUCGCAAGCACCUUGCUGUUCUGAGUAAUGGUUGAUAUCUUACAUUUAGCCGAGAAGCUGAAAACUUACGAGUUGGAAAACCUUCUAGAUAUACCUAAAAAGACCUUGAAGAUAUCUUCUACUAGAUUGGACGAGCUGAUUGACUGGCGAUGGAGAUGCAGCAGUGACCUGCAAUUCUUUCUGCUCUGGAUGGUUCAUUUUGAAAUCUUUUUUAUAUCUGACAA
Molecule: long non-coding RNA, 2068 nt
Organism: Triticum dicoccoides
Lineage: Eukaryota; Viridiplantae; Streptophyta; Magnoliopsida; Poales; Poaceae
Exons: 4
Source: RefSeq, a predicted model, not a curated record